RNAcentral lists this long non-coding RNA (462 nucleotides) under Phascolarctos cinereus (koala). RNAcentral describes it as "lncRNA (ENSPCIG00000031360.1)". Lineage: Eukaryota; Metazoa; Chordata; Mammalia; Diprotodontia; Phascolarctidae. The record is from RNAcentral.
UCUGUCUGCAGGAGGACAAGGGACAGGUGGUGUUUUAUGAUGUCAGGGCCACUUCAGCACCUCUGUCCGGGCUGAGAGACCCAAGGUUUCAGUGCUGCACUAAGUAUGUAAGGAAAAAACAUCUAUUUUUCUCUGUUUCCCAGCACACAGGCCUCUCCAGAGAGAGUGCUUACUCUUGUGAAAUGACUGGAUUUUUCUUUUAGUUACUUCAAAAUUCUACAGACCCAGUCCCUAACUCAGUAAGCCUUUCCCUAGUGGAAAAUCUUAAAACUGCAUAGAACCAGAAGCAAGAAUCGGGCUGGAUGAGAGUGCUGGUCAUUAGGACAUUUGAAAUACCCUGCUCUCCUUAGAAGUUCCUAAUGGAGACCUUUAGAGGAAGAAUAGAGGUCAGAAGGCCCAGGACAUCUCCGAAAGAACUGGUCCCUUUCUCUAGAAGAAGCCCCUAUUGCCAGGCUCCUACUG